GUGCCAGCAGCCGCGGUAAUACGGAUGGGUGCAAGCGUUAUCCGGAUUUAUUGGGUUUAAAGGGUCCGUAGGCGGACCGAUAAGUCAGUGGUGAAAUCUCAUAGCUUAACUAUGAAACUGCCAUUGAUACUGUCGGUCUUGAGUAAAUUUGAAGUGGCUGGAAUAAGUAGUGUAGCGGUGAAAUGCAUAGAUAUUACUUAGAACACCAAUUGCGAAGGCAGGUCACUAAGAUUUAACCGACGCUGAGGGACGAAAGCGUGGGGAGCGAACAGGAUUAGAUACCCUGGUAGUCCACGCCGUAAACGAUGCUAACUCGUUUUUGGACCUUCGGGUUCAGAGACCAAGCGAAAGUGAUAAGUUAGCCACCUGGGGAGUACGAUCGCAAGAUUGAAACUCAAAGGAAUUGACGGGGGCCCGCACAAGCGGUGGAUUAUGUGGUUUAAUUCGAUGAUACGCGAGGAACCUUACCAAGACUUAAAUGGGAAAUGACAGGUUUGGAAACAGACCCUUCUUCGGACAUUUUUCAAGGUGCUGCAUGGUUGUCGUCAGCUCGUGCCGUGAGGCGUUAGGUUAAGUCCUGCAACGAGCGCAACCCCUGUCACUAGUUGCUAACAUUAAGUUGAGGACUCUAGUGAGACUGCCUACGCAAGUAGAGAGGAAGGUGGGGAUGACGUCAAAUCAUCACGGCCCUUACGUCUUGGCCACACACGUAAUACAAUGGCCGGUACAGAGGCAGCUACACAGCGAUGUGAUGCAAUCUCGAAAGCCGGUCUCAGUUCGAUUGAGUCUGCACUCGACUCUAUGAAGCUGAAUCGCUAGUAUCGCGCAUCAGCAUGCUCGCGAUACGUCCUGGCUUGCACUCACCGCCGCAGUGAUCGAUAACUGCAGAACUAGUCCUUAGUGAGGUAAUCCUA
Molecule: ribosomal RNA, 914 nt
Filed under: uncultured bacterium
Lineage: Bacteria
Description: bacterial SSU rRNA
Rfam family: Bacterial small subunit ribosomal RNA
Source: RNAcentral